RNAcentral lists this ribosomal RNA (253 nucleotides) under uncultured bacterium. RNAcentral's name for it is "partial 16S ribosomal RNA". It matches the Rfam family "Bacterial small subunit ribosomal RNA", at positions 524 to 776 of the family's 1533-position model. The record is from RNAcentral.
UACGUAGGGUGCGAGCGUUGUCCGGAAUUAUUGGGCGUAAAGGGCUCGUAGGCGGUUUGUCGCGUCGGGAGUGAAAACCAGGUGCUUAACACCUGGCUUGCUUUCGAUACGGGCAGACUAGAGGUAUUCAGGGGAGAACGGAAUUCCUGGUGUAGCGGUGAAAUGCGCAGAUAUCAGGAGGAACACCGGUGGCGAAGGCGGUUCUCUGGGAAUGACCUGAUGCUGAGGAGCGAAAGUGUGGGGAGCGAACAGG